AUGCAUGAUGUGAAAUUUGGCUACAGAUGGAACAUAGGGGAUGGGAGCAGAACCAGGUUCUGGGAAGAUACUUGGUUUGGCACAUCCCCCCUAGCAGUCCAAUUUUGGCAUAUUUACUCUGUCCGCAAUGAGCUUAACAAAAGUUUUAAUGAAGUUUGGGACGGUCAAUGCCUAAAACUCUCUUUUAGAAGAAACUUUAGUGAUAGUCUCAUGGAACAAUGGUUCUAG
RNAcentral lists this ribosomal RNA (228 nucleotides) under Triticum aestivum (bread wheat). RNAcentral's name for it is "partial small subunit ribosomal RNA". The record is from RNAcentral. Lineage: Eukaryota; Viridiplantae; Streptophyta; Magnoliopsida; Poales; Poaceae.